Molecule: ribosomal RNA, 284 nt
Filed under: Chaetoceros curvisetus
Lineage: Eukaryota; Bacillariophyta; Thalassiosirophyceae; Chaetocerotales; Chaetocerotaceae
Description: partial Bacterial large subunit ribosomal RNA
Rfam family: Bacterial large subunit ribosomal RNA
Source: RNAcentral
CUCAGUAGCUCGAGGAAAAGAAAUCAACCGAGAUUCCCCCAGUAGCGGCGAGCGAACGGGGAGGAGCCCAGAACCUGAAUCGGCUUGUGUGUUAGUGGAAGCGUCUGGAAAGUCGCGCAGCAAAGGGUGAUAGCCCCGUACACUAAAAUGCACAGGUCGUGAGUUCGAUGAGUAGGGCGGGACACGUGACAUCCUGUCUGAAUAUGGGGGGACCAUCCUCCAAGGCUAAAUACUCGUAAUCGACCGAUAGUGAACCAGUACCGUGAGGGAAAGGUGAAAAGCAC